UGGGGAAUUUUGGACAAUGGGCGAAAGCCUGAUCCAGCAAUGCCGCGUGUGUGAAGAAGGCCUUCGGGUUGUAAAGCACUUUUGUCCGGAAAGAAAUCCUUGGCUCUAAUACAGUCGGGGGAUGACGGUACCGGAAGAAUAAGCACCGGCUAACUACGUGCCAGCAGCCGCGGUAAUACGUAGGGUGCAAGCGUUAAUCGGAAUUACUGGGCGUAAAGCGUGCGCAGGCGGUUUGCUAAGACCGAUGUGAAAUCCCCGGGCUCAACCCGGGAACUGCAUUGGUGACUGGCAGGCUAGAGUAUGGCAGAGGGGGGUAGAAUUCCACGUGUAGCAGUGAAAUGCGUAGAGAUGUGGAGGAAUACCGAUGGCGAAGGCAGCCCCCUGGGCCAAUACUGACGCUCAUGCACGAAAGCGUGGGGAGCAAACAGGAUUAGAUACCCUGGUAGUCCACGCCCUAAACGAUGUCAACUAGUUGUUGGGGAUUCAUUUCCUUAGUAACGUAGCUAACGCGUGAAGUUGACCGCCUGGGGAGUACGGUCGCAAGAUUAAAACUUAAAUGAAUUGACGGGGUCAUAGCUGUUUCCU
Molecule: ribosomal RNA, 585 nt
Filed under: uncultured bacterium
Lineage: Bacteria
Description: partial 16S ribosomal RNA
Rfam family: Bacterial small subunit ribosomal RNA
Source: RNAcentral